Molecule: ribosomal RNA, 369 nt
Filed under: uncultured phototrophic eukaryote
Lineage: Eukaryota
Description: SSU rRNA
Rfam family: Bacterial small subunit ribosomal RNA
Source: RNAcentral
UACGGGGGAUGCAAGCGUUAUCCGGAAUCACUGGGCGUAAAGCGCCUGUAGGUUGUUUACUAAGUCUGUUGUUAAAGCCUAGGGCUUAACCCUGGGAAAGCAAUGGAAACUAGUAGACUAGAGUAUGGCAGGGGUAGAGGGAAUUUCUAGUGUAGCGGUGAAAUGCGUAGAUAUUAGAAAGAACACCGGUGGCGAAGGCGCUCUACUGGACCAUUACUGACACUCAGAGGCGAAAGCUAGGGUAGCAAAAGGGAUUAGAUACCCCUGUAGUCCUAGCCGUAAACGAUGGAUACUAGAUGUUGUGCAUAAUGUACAGUAUCGUAGCUAACGCGUUAAGUAUCCCGCCUGGGGAGUACGCUCGCAAGGGUG